Molecule: microRNA, 20 nt
Filed under: Ciona intestinalis (vase tunicate)
Lineage: Eukaryota; Metazoa; Chordata; Ascidiacea; Phlebobranchia; Cionidae
Description: cin-miR-4013a-5p
Source: miRBase by way of RNAcentral
AGACUUGUAAUAGCAGCAUG